GACAGAGGGUGCAAACGUUGCUCGGAAUUACUGGGCGUAAAGCGCGUGUAGGCGGGCCUUCAAGUCGGACGUGAAAGCCCUGAGCUCAACUCAGGAACUGCAUCCGAAACUGAAGGUCUGGAGUAGUGGAGAGGAAAGCAGAAUUCCUGGUGUAGAGGUGAAAUUCGUAGAUAUCAGGAGGAACACCGGUGGCGAAGGCGGCUUUCUGGACAGUUACUGACGCUGAGACGCGAAAGCGUGGGGAGCAAACAGG
RNAcentral lists this ribosomal RNA (253 nucleotides) under uncultured bacterium. RNAcentral describes it as "partial 16S ribosomal RNA". It matches the Rfam family "Bacterial small subunit ribosomal RNA", at positions 524 to 776 of the family's 1533-position model. The record is from RNAcentral.